This 400-nucleotide ribosomal RNA is filed under the name Dyschirius chalceus. RNAcentral describes it as "SSU rRNA". It matches the Rfam family "Eukaryotic small subunit ribosomal RNA", at positions 583 to 885 of the family's 1831-position model. Lineage: Eukaryota; Metazoa; Arthropoda; Insecta; Coleoptera; Carabidae. The record is from RNAcentral.
UUCCAGCUCCAAUAGCGUAUAUUAAAGUUGUUGCGGUUAAAAAGCUCGUAGUUGAAUCUGUGUCCCACGCUGUCGGUUCACCGCCCGCGGUGUUAACUGGCACGUUUCGUGGGACGUCCUGCCGGUGGAUGGGGUUGCGUAUGUAUUAUGUGUACUAUUGUUAUUUAUAACAUAGUUUCAUGUAUGCAUGCGUCCCAUCCGACUUUUAUAAGAUUCCUGUCACGGUGCUCUUAAUUGAGUGUCGAGAUAGGCCGGCACGUUUACUUUGAACAAAUUAGAGUGCUCAAAGCAGGCUAAAUUUAACGCCUGAAUAUUGUGUGCAUGGAAUAAUAGAACAGGACCUCGGUUCUAUUUUGUUGGUUUUCGGAACCCCGAGGUAAUGAUUAAUAGGGACAGAUGG